RNAcentral lists this ribosomal RNA (431 nucleotides) under uncultured bacterium. RNAcentral's name for it is "partial 16S ribosomal RNA". It matches the Rfam family "Bacterial small subunit ribosomal RNA", at positions 29 to 507 of the family's 1533-position model. The record is from RNAcentral.
AACGAACGCUGGCGGCAGGCUUAACACAUGCAAGUCGAGCGCCCCGCAAGGGGAGCGGCCGACGGGUGAGUAACGCGUGGGAACGUACCUUUUGGUUCGGAACAACUCCGGGAAACUGGAGCUAAUACCGGAUAAGCCCUAACGGGGAAAGAUUUAUCGCCGAAAGAUCGGCCCGCGUCUGAUUAGCUAGUUGGUGAGGUAACGGCUCACCAAGGCGACGAUCAGUAGCUGGUCUGAGAGGAUGAUCAGCCACACUGGGACUGAGACACGGCCCAGACUCCUACGGGAGGCAGCAGUGGGGAAUAUUGGACAAUGGGCGCAAGCCUGAUCCAGCCAUGCCGCGUGAGUGAUGAAGGCCUUAGGGUUGUAAAGCUCUUUUGUCCGGGAAGAUAAUGACUGUACCGGAAGAAUAGGCCCCGGCUAACUUCGUG